AGAGUUUGAUCCUGGCUCAGGACGAACGCUGGCGGCGUGCUUAACACAUGCAAGUCGAACGGAAAGGCCCUUCGGGGUACUCGAGUGGCGAACGGGUGAGUAACACGUGGGUGAUCUGCCCUGCACUCUGGGAUAAGCCUGGGAAACUGGGUCUAAUACCGGAUAGGACCGCAUGCUUCAUGGUGUGUGGUGCAAAGCUUUUGCGGUGUGGGAUGAGCCCGCGGCCUAUCAGCUUGUUGGUGGGGUAAUGGCCUACCAAGGCGACGACGGGUAGCCGGCCUGAGAGGGUGACCGGCCACACUGGGACUGAGAUACGGCCCAGACUCCUACAGGAGGCAGCAGUGGGGAAUAUUGCACAAUGGGCGCAAGCCUGAUGCAGCGACGCCGCGUGAGGGAUGACGGCCUUCGGGUUGUAAACCUCUUUCAGUAGGGACGAAGCGAAAGUGACGGUACCUACAGAAGAAGGACCGGCCAACUACGUGCCAGCAGCCGCGGUAAUACGUAGGGUCCGAGCGUUGUCCGGAAUUACUGGGCGUAAAGAGCUCGUAGGUGGUUUGUCGCGUUGUUCGUGAAAACUCACAGCUUAACUGUGGGCGUGCGGGCGAUACGGGCAGACUAGAGUACUGCAGGGGAGACUGGAAUUCCUGGUGUAGCGGUGGAAUGCGCAGAUAUCAGGAGGAACACCGGUGGCGAAGGCGGGUCUCUGGGCAGUAACUGACGCUGAGGAGCGAAAGCGUGGGUAGCGAACAGGAUUAGAUACCCUGGUAGUCCAA
Molecule: ribosomal RNA, 773 nt
Filed under: uncultured bacterium
Lineage: Bacteria
Description: bacterial SSU rRNA
Rfam family: Bacterial small subunit ribosomal RNA
Source: RNAcentral